This 776-nucleotide ribosomal RNA is filed under the name uncultured Neocallimastigales. Its description in RNAcentral is "partial large subunit ribosomal RNA". It matches the Rfam family "Eukaryotic large subunit ribosomal RNA", at positions 26 to 639 of the family's 3401-position model. The record is from RNAcentral. Lineage: Eukaryota; Fungi; Neocallimastigomycota; Neocallimastigomycetes; Neocallimastigales.
CGCAUCUGUGCAUGCAGCAUAUCAAUAAGCGGAGGAAAAGAAACUAACAAGGAUUCCCUUAGUAACGGCGAGUGAAGCGGGAAGAGCUCAAAUUUGAAAUCUUCAAGGUUUUACCUUGACGAAUUGUAGUUUAAAGAAGUGUUUUCUGUUGAAGUUUUGGUAAAAGUUCUUUGGAAUAGGACAUCAUAGAGGGUGAGAAUCCCGUAUUUGACCAUUAUUUUCAGCUGUGUGAUACACUUUCAAAGAGUCGGAUUGUUUGGGAAUGCAGUCCCAAAAUGGGUGGUAAAUUUCAUCUAAAGCUAAAUAUUGGCGAGAGACCGAUAGCGAACAAGUACCGUGAGGGAAAGAUGAAAAGAACUUUGAAAAGAGAGUUAAACAGUACGUGAAAUUGUCAAAAGGGAAGCGUUUGACACCAGUGUUGUUUUCUCGAAAAUCAAUUAAAAAAGAGUUAGAUUUUGUUGUGUAUUGACCUUAACAGCUUGCAUUUCAAUUUUCUUGCUUUUUUUAAUGCACUUUUCGUUUAACAAGUCAACAUCAGUUUCUUUUGUUGUAAAAAGGUCAUUGGAAGGUGGCUUUCUUUUCGGAGAAAGUGUUUAUAGCCUUUGACUCCUGCAAUCGGAGAGACUGAGGUCUGCAGCGUAGAUCCUUCGGGGUUAGAUACAUUUGUGCUAAGUUAUAGCUUUUUAUAGACAACUUGUUGACUAUGAUUAGUCUUGUAGCUUACUCGCUUAUGCUAUUUUACCUACGCUUAGGAUGUUGACGCGCGUGUGUGCGUG